UCUUUACUCUUUUUUUUUUCUAGUGCUCCAACGCCUAGCCCAGAAAAUCCCGCUCGCCACAGAAAUGCUCUUGCGGCGUGUGCUCAAGUGCAGCUCACAGGCUCGCUGGGUUCGGUGGGACGGCAUAAAAGCUCCUUCAGUAUUGAAUCAUGCUGCGGACCACAGUGAUCUGCUAAAUGCUGUCUUCGACGAGAUCGAAAAUUGCGACACAUCCGUCCAUGCAGAGAAGCGCGAGUCGCCAAAAAUGGUUGAGUCCAGUGGCACGCCAACCAGCCCAUCUAACACCGCCCCAUCAGUUUCAGACACAAAAGUGCGGCUUGAAGAAGCAAAGCAUAAACGGCUACGCCGUCAGCUGAGGGACGCCACUGAGGAGCUUGAUGCUCUACUGAACGAAAGCAGCCGGACGACAGCCGCUGUCUCGAGCGCCAAGUAUGUACCUGCGCGGGCGGCAAAGACGUUCUUGUCCUCGGCUGAAUUGGUUCAGGAAAAGUCGCCUCAAGAAUUUGUAGCGCUGGAAAACAGCAAAGCAGAGCUGGAUCGCCUGCCGGUGCUGCGACACUCAGGAUGCUCCGCAGUAGUGACGUUAGUGGGAGUUGUCACCGAGCCACCAACAAGCGUCAGCGUAGCGCUUCCUGGAGUGAGUGAGGCGACUAACUGUGUCGAGUUUGCUGUUCGGUACGAUGUUCCGUUUUUCCAGAUGCAAACAUCCAUGGGGAUAGUGAUUCGGACAGUUGGGGCAUCACUGUCUGCGUUUGCGAAGGAGAGCGUUGACGUGGGGGAUGUUGUUCAUCUUUUAGGUCAUUUGGUUCCACUGACAGAACCUAACGGCAAGGGCCACUUUUGCUGUGUUUACGUGCUUCCAGCUGGCGGCAACAUGUCUGUCCUUUUGAAAGCCACGUCAUAGUCAACAUGUUGUGUUCACAAAAAAAAAGAGGUGCCAGUGAGCAGUUAGCAUGUCUAUGCUUUUGAUGUGUUCAAUCGUCAGCAUCCUCGCAACGCUGUUUCUCCUGCUCUGAAUGCGCAUUCUCCAAC
Molecule: unclassified non-coding RNA, 1032 nt
Filed under: Leishmania donovani
Lineage: Eukaryota; Euglenozoa; Kinetoplastea; Trypanosomatida; Trypanosomatidae
Description: gene:LdHU3.30.1000(CDS-product:hypothetical_prote in_conserved)
Source: RNAcentral